RNAcentral lists this transfer RNA (77 nucleotides) under Fidelibacterota bacterium. RNAcentral describes it as "tRNA-Pro". It matches the Rfam family "tRNA". From Rfam's summary of the family: Transfer RNA (tRNA) molecules are approximately 80 nucleotides in length. Their secondary structure includes four short double-helical elements and three loops (D, anti-codon, and T loops). Further hydrogen bonds mediate the characteristic L-shaped molecular structure. tRNAs have two regions of fundamental functional importance: the anti-codon, which is responsible for specific mRNA codon recognition, and the 3' end, to which the tRNAs corresponding amino acid is attached (by aminoacyl-tRNA synthetases). tRNAs cope with the degeneracy of the genetic code in two manners: having more than one tRNA (with a specific anti-codon) for a particular amino acid; and 'wobble' base-pairing, i.e. permitting non-standard base-pairing at the 3rd anti-codon position. Lineage: Bacteria; Pseudomonadati; Fidelibacterota. The record is from RNAcentral.
CGGAGUGUAGCUCAGCCCGGUAGAGCACUGCCUUCGGGAGGCAGGGGCCGGAGGUUCAAAUCCUCUCACUCCGACCA